RNAcentral lists this ribosomal RNA (249 nucleotides) under Triticum aestivum (bread wheat). RNAcentral describes it as "partial small subunit ribosomal RNA". The record is from RNAcentral. Lineage: Eukaryota; Viridiplantae; Streptophyta; Magnoliopsida; Poales; Poaceae.
AUGAGCUUCUACAGCCUGCCUGAGACUCUGCACCAUGAGAUUGCCAGAGUUCAAGGGCGCUUCUUCUGGGUUGGCGAGGGCGACAAGCAGAAGUACCACAUGGUCCGGUGGACUGAGAUCUGUAAGCCUCGUGAUCAGGGUGGUCUUGGGAUCAUGUCUUCCAAACGCAUGAGCAUUGCCCUCCUGACUAGGUGGCUCUAGCGGAUUAUGAAUAGUGAGGGUGGCUUAUGGCUCCGCAUCAUCCAGUAG